Molecule: ribosomal RNA, 497 nt
Filed under: uncultured bacterium
Lineage: Bacteria
Description: partial 16S ribosomal RNA
Rfam family: Bacterial small subunit ribosomal RNA
Source: RNAcentral
GAUGAACGCUGGCGGCGUGCCUAAUACAUGCAAGUCGAACGCAUAGCGAGAGGUGCUUGCACCUUUCAAGUGAGUGGCGAACGGGUGAGUAACACGUGGACAACCUGCCUCAAGGCUGGGGAUAACAUUUGGAAACAGAUGCUAAUACCGAAUAAAACUUAGUGUCGCAUGACACAAAGUUAAAAGGCGCUUCGGCGUCACCUAGAGAUGGAUCCGCGGUGCAUUAGUUAGUUGGUGGGGUAAAGGCCUACCAAGACAAUGAUGCAUAGCCGAGUUGAGAGACUGAUCGGCCACAUUGGGACUGAGACACGGCCCAAACUCCUACGGGAGGCUGCAGUAGGGAAUCUUCCACAAAGGGCGAAAGCCUGAUGGAGCAACGCCGCGUGUGUGAUGAAGGCUUUCGGGUCGUAAAGCACUGUUGUAUGGGAAGAACAGCUAGAAUAGGAAAUGAUUUUAGUUUGACGGUACCAUACCAGAAAGGGACGGCUAAAUACGUG